This 709-nucleotide ribosomal RNA is filed under the name uncultured bacterium. Its description in RNAcentral is "bacterial SSU rRNA". It matches the Rfam family "Bacterial small subunit ribosomal RNA", at positions 94 to 801 of the family's 1533-position model. The record is from RNAcentral.
AGCGGCGGACGGGUGAGUAAUGCAUAGGAAACUGCCCAGUAGUGGGGGAUAGCCCGGGGAAACCCGGAUUAAUACCGCAUACGCCCUUCGGGGGAAAGCAGGGGAUCUUCGGACCUUGCGCUAUUGGAUGUGCCUAUGUCGGAUUAGCUAGUUGGUGGGGUAAGAGCCUACCAAGGCGACGAUCCGUAGCUGGUCUGAGAGGAUGAUCAGCCACAUCGGGACUGAGACACGGCCCGAACUCCUACGGGAGGCAGCAGUGGGGAAUAUUGGACAAUGGGGGCAACCCUGAUCCAGCCAUGCCGCGUGUGUGAAGAAGGCUUUCGGGUUGUAAAGCACUUUCAGUGAGGAGGAAAACCUUAAGUUUAAUACGCUUGAGGCUUGACGUUACUCACAGAAGAAGCACCGGCUAACUCCGUGCCAGCAGCCGCGGUAAUACGGAGGGUGCAAGCGUUAAUCGGAAUUACUGGGCGUAAAGCGCGCGUAGGUGGUUUGAUAAGCGAGAUGUGAAAGCCCCGGGCUCAACCUGGGAACGGCAUUUCGAACUGUCAGGCUGGAGUAUGGUAGAGGAGUGUGGAAUUUCCUGUGUAGCGGUGAAAUGCGUAGAUAUAGGAGGACACCAGUGGCGACGGCGGCACUCUGGGACAAUACUGACACUGAGGUGCGUAGCGUUGGGGAGCAACCAGAUUUAGAUACCCUGGUAGUCCAACGU